CCUACGGGUGACAGCAGUGGGGAAUAUUGCACAAUGGGGGAAACCCUGAUGCAGCGACGCCGCGUGAGUGAAGAAGUAUUUCGGUACGUAAAGCUCUCUCAGCAGGGAAGAAAAUGACGGUACCUGACUAACAAGCCCCGGCUAACUACGUGCCAGCAGCCGCGGUAAUACGUAGGGGGCAAGCGUUAUCCGGAUUUACUGGGUGUAAAGGGAGCGUAGACGGCAGCUCAAGUCUGGAGUGAAAUCCCAUGGCUUAACCAUGGAACUGCAUUGGAAACUGUGCAGCUAGAGUGCAGGAGAGGUAAGCGGAAUUCCUAGUGUAGCGGUGAAAUGCGUAGAUAUUAGGAGGAACACCAGUGGCGAAGGCGGCUUACUGGACUGUAACUGACGUUGAGGCUCGAAAGCGUGGGGAGCAAACAGGAUUAGAUACCCCGGUAGUC
Molecule: ribosomal RNA, 440 nt
Filed under: uncultured bacterium
Lineage: Bacteria
Description: partial 16S ribosomal RNA
Rfam family: Bacterial small subunit ribosomal RNA
Source: RNAcentral